AUACAGGCAAUGAUGGAUGGGAGAAAGAAGGGAAGAGGAGCUGGUAAGUCUCCCCCUCCCUCCUUCCCAUGUUAAAUUAAGAAGACAGCCGGAUGCCAGAGGCUGCUGGUGACUUAUAAAUGGUCUGCAGACAGCAGUUGAUUUCAGCAUGCGGCUCAGAUCUGUUGCACCACUAGACAUGCCUCCGCCAGCCUUAGUGUCACAACUGAUGGGCUUGCUCUGGACAUACAAGUGACUGACUGGAUCGUGAACAGUUGUUCUCAAGAGACAGUGAAUGUCUUCAGGACAGGAACCUGGGACAAGAUGUGGAGGUGACCUGAAGGAAACACCAGACUCACCAUUGUGGAAGAUCUAGAAGCAAGGCGAUCAGAGUCGCACAAACUCAGGCAGAUGCCACACCGAAAGGACUGCCAUUAUCACACAUGCCAUGAAAACACUCCCUGUCUUAGUGACCCCACAAGUGGGGACAAUCAUGCUUCCCUCCUGAAUAUUUAACAGGAUGGAAGGUUCUGAGUCUGCUCUCAACAGGUGAUCAAUCCAUACCAUGAGCUUCCGUCCAUUUCCUGUUCAAAGUGUCUAAUAAAAAUCAAACAAACAAACAAACAAACAAAAACCAACAGUGAAAUGCUAAAAGUGUUAGUGUUAACAGGCGCGGUGACAGAAGCACAGGAAAAUGUACUUUCUCACUGACCCCAGUGAGGACCUUGUAAUAAAGUUCACGAGAAUUUUCCU
RNAcentral lists this long non-coding RNA (732 nucleotides) under Mus musculus (house mouse). Its description in RNAcentral is "predicted gene, 17546, transcript variant 2 (Gm17546)". Lineage: Eukaryota; Metazoa; Chordata; Mammalia; Rodentia; Muridae. The record is from RNAcentral.